Molecule: non-coding RNA, 537 nt
Organism: Oryza sativa Japonica Group (Japanese rice)
Lineage: Eukaryota; Viridiplantae; Streptophyta; Magnoliopsida; Poales; Poaceae
Source: RefSeq, a predicted model, not a curated record
AGCUUCAGAUGGAUUCCAUUAGAUAUUAGAGAAAACCAAACAAACUGUGGUGAUGUUCUCCUUAGCAUGGUUGGUGAAAUGUGUCCUGAUCAACCUGCAAAUAUUAUCAAGCUCACUUCGACGGGACUGUGGUUAGGGAUAAUGUGUGCACUCAUCGUUCAGAUGCUAUUGCUUCUGGCCAUAACACUGUGCACCAACUGGGAGAAAGAAGCUCUAAAGGCCAAGGAAAGAGUUUUCAGUUUGUCCUUGCCCGCAGACAUGACGACAUGAUAAUACAAUGUACACGAUCCAAGAACCAACAUGAAGAUUGAUGGACGAUUUUGUUUGGCAAUAGUGGCUAAGAAAUUCUACGAGAUAAUGGGAAAUCACAGCUUAAAAAAUUAAGACCAUCAUCUACAUGUUUUAAUGACGCAAUUAAUAGUUGCCAAAACAUGGAACUAUCUGUAAGGAAGAGUUCAGACAGCGAGAAAUCUGCUUUUGGUGGAUUUUUGGUCAGACGAAGAAAUAAAAUGUUUUGGACUAGAGGCACUGCAUUGG